AGUCGCAUAGCUCAGUCUGGUUAGGGUACUUACUUGACAUGCAAGGNGUCGGUGGUUCAAGUCCACUCGCAACUA
RNAcentral lists this transfer RNA (75 nucleotides) under Porticoccaceae bacterium. RNAcentral describes it as "tRNA-Val". It matches the Rfam family "tRNA". From Rfam's summary of the family: Transfer RNA (tRNA) molecules are approximately 80 nucleotides in length. Their secondary structure includes four short double-helical elements and three loops (D, anti-codon, and T loops). Further hydrogen bonds mediate the characteristic L-shaped molecular structure. tRNAs have two regions of fundamental functional importance: the anti-codon, which is responsible for specific mRNA codon recognition, and the 3' end, to which the tRNAs corresponding amino acid is attached (by aminoacyl-tRNA synthetases). tRNAs cope with the degeneracy of the genetic code in two manners: having more than one tRNA (with a specific anti-codon) for a particular amino acid; and 'wobble' base-pairing, i.e. permitting non-standard base-pairing at the 3rd anti-codon position. The record is from RNAcentral. Lineage: Bacteria; Pseudomonadati; Pseudomonadota; Gammaproteobacteria; Cellvibrionales; Porticoccaceae.